GUCUCACUAUAUAGUCUAAGCUGGCCUCGAACUCACAGUGAUCCUUCUGCCUCAGCCCCCUGAGUGCUGAGGUGAUUAGGCAUGCACUACUACACCCAGCACUUCAAUUUUAAAGUUUUGUAGAAAUGAACACAGCUGCUAAGCAGUGGUGUUUUUCUGUCAUGUGGGGUGUGUGUCGAUUUGUCUACAUUUUCCUCUGGCUUCUGUUGUCAACUGCACAGGAGAGAGGAUUUAGAAUCGAGUUUUCUGAGACAAAGACAUUGCCUGCUUGCUUGUCUUCGGAGAUGCCCCCACCAGUGGGCGCCAGGGAACAGCUGAGGGAGGUGUCCUGGGGCCUGGGCUUGGCUGCACAGGGGCCCUGGGUCUGUAUGGGCCCCAGAAUACCUGCCACCAUGGGCUGGAAGCAGGGAGAGGACAGGUCUGGGCCUUGCUUGCCGCUCCCCGAGCAGCACAUGGCUGGAUGCCUGAUGCCCGGGCCUGGCUGUGGCCACCAGCAGUGCUGCUCCUGUGCCUUCCUGGCUGCGGCUCAGAAGAGGGUUCACCUUGGGUGAGCAGGGGAGGGGAGGGUGGCUGGGAGGCAACCGGCUGAUAACCUUGUGCCAUGCAUGGUGGUCAUGAUGGUUGUGAUAAGACCUGGAGUCCAGGGACCUGUACCACCCCAGCCACCCUCACAGAGCUCCCCUGCUCUGGGCCUGUUUCUCCACUCUCUGCCUGCUUGCCCACUGUGGCCUGUUCUCUUUCUGUUUCCUCUCAGAUUCUUUCUGGUUCCUCCUUCUCUGGGAUCAUAUGAAAUGGAAUUAUAUUUCUAAGCCUUGGCCUAAGUUUGUGGGGUUUUUAAAAAAUCUUUUUACUUGAAAAAACAAUUUCAAACUUAGAAAAAGUUGUGAAAAUAAAAACAAUAGGAGGCCCCAUAGCUGGUUUUGUCUGUUAACAUUUUACACCAUGCGGUUUUCCAUUUGCUGUGUGUAGUGCGUGUGUGUGUGAGCACGUGCGUGCGUAUGUGCACCCACAAUGGAUUCAAGGAUUGUGGCAAGCACUGCAGAGUGGUGGGAAAUUUUUUUUUUUUGGUACGGGGAAUCGAACUUGGGCCCUUGCGCUUGCACAGCAGGCAGCAGGCGGUGAAACCACUGAGCUAAAUCCCCUGGCCCUGUGGUGGGAAAUUCUUGACACACACUGAGUGCGCAUUCUCUCUGCAGGAGGAAGGUGAGACCCAGGCCCCAGGUUCUGUCCCAGAUCCGCUGACAUCCUAACAUCCUCUCUGCAGAUCAGAGCCCUGCUAGGACCAGGAGCACAUCUGCCUGUGACUGGGUUGGAAAAUCCCCUCCUGGGCCAGGUGGACCCAGUGAGGCCAGGCAGCCCGGCAGAACUCACUAGAACAGUGUCUGCUGUGGGACACCAAGGCCUGUGCUCCUGCCGCCUCCUAGCCUGCCCCAUUGUCCUCAGAGAGGACAUUGACCCCUGCAGCCCCUGGCUUCCUGUGUCACACAUGACCUUUUCUGUGGCAGGUGAGGUGAUAAAGCACGGGGAACUUCGAUGUGUGCGCAAGCGAGGGGAUGCCUAUCUACAAGUCCCCCCUGGAGAAGGGGAUGCUGGUCAUACAGUUCCUAGUGACCUUCCCUGAGCAGCACUGGCUGUCCCUGGAGAAGUUGCCACAGCUGGAAGCCCUGUUACCCCCGGAGGCAGAAGGUGCGGGUCACAGAGGACAUGGAGCAGGCGGAGCUGCAGGAGUUCAGUGCUGGCGAGCAGAGCUGGCGCCCGCAGCGGGAAGCCUAUGAGGAGGAUGAGGAUGGGCCGCGGAGCCGGCGUGCAGUGCCAGGCAGCGUGAUGCAGGGGCGGUGUAACGUUGGCACAAUGAAACGGCGUCCUGUAAUGGCUGUCUGGGGUGUCUUGUGUGUGUUCAGCAUUCUCCACAGCGGAGUGUCUUUGGGUUUCUUUUGCUUUUGUUUUGGUUCUGAUUUAAGUUAAGCUUGGUUCGCAUUUAAAUGUUUUACGUGUUAAUCACCUCAGUCUGCCCAUGGAAUCUGUUUGUCCUCAUCUUCAGGACAGUCCCGGGGAUGCUGGUGACCACGCUGACACUUUGCACUUCAGGUGGCUUUGCUGUUAUUCAGUUCCUGGUAGCACUCAGCCCAGAGCUGCACCCACCCCCUUGCAGGCCGGGAGGCACAGUGGGUAUCUCAGCUGUGUGUGCAGGUGGCUUCUCACCCUGUGCUCUGGCAGUCACCGAAGGCCUGUAUGCAGAGCUGCUGACAGGACAUUUCUGAGUCCAGGUUCAGAUGAGCAUCUUCACAAACAUAGGCAUACACACAGGGCUUUGAGGGCCUGGUCCACGCCCAGCAGGCUGCGUACCCUGGAUGCAGGGUCAGCCUAGUCCCUCGUUCAGUGUCCCCAGAAGGUUGGUGUGGGGCACAAGAGUCUGCUCAUCUCUCCUGGAGAUUCUCUGAACUUCCCAACCCCAUGGGGGGACAGACCACUGUCUUAAGUGAUCUCAGACCCACCAUUUGCCUGUGACCCAGCCCCUGUUCUCUGGUUUUCAUGAUCCUCUGUUGGAACCCCUGCAACCCUGUCCCACCCAAGUGCUUACUUGAAAACAAAACCCUCUCAUAUCCCUGGCAGCCUCAGACAGCAGCAGAAGCCAAGGGUGGACGCUGGUCUGGCCCACAGAUGGUGGGUUCUCCUGCCUGGUGACCCUGGGUGACUUGAAGGAUUGGGAAGGCACAGAUCAUCCCAGUGUCCCUUCCAUGUUCUCUAAGCUGGGCUCCUUCUUGAAGGGUCGUUCCGUACUGCACAGCCAUAUCCCAAAGGGUGUCCUGCUCAGGUGACACUGGUGGGACAGGCACACAAGCAGGCUCUCCUCUGUCGAUUCCUGCUGUCGAUGCCCAGUUCAGGGCACGUUAGCCAUUGCUUCUUUCCUGGCAAGCAGACUACACCUCAAAUCAGCAUUACCUCAACAUCAGGAUAUCACCACUCCUUUCUUUUCAGUCAUGAAGAGAAACCACUACCUUUGAGUGUCAGGUGCACCUUUGUCUGGUAAUACGAUGCUCAAGUCAAACCCAGACAAAGACACCCAGGAGGGCCACAGGAGAGGCCACGGGGUGACCAGGCUUUAGGAGCACUGCUGGCUGGUGGGACACAGCUGGUCCAGUACAGAGAACCCACCUGUGCCUGCCUCAACUGCUGGCCAGGAAACUUAGAACCAAUUCUUCCAACCAAGCCUACAUGAAAAUCAACUUAUAGGGCUGGGAAUUUAGCUCAGUGGUUUCACCAAGGACCCAAGUUCGAUCCCCGGUACCAAAAAAAAAAAAUCAACUUAUAAAUGGACCACCACUCCAGGGUGCUGCUCCUGUGCUGUGGCUUCCUGAUAAAUGAUUGCUAGAGAACUAUUGUUUAUUGCUGAGGGAGCAAAAUUACACUUGGCUCUUUCCUGUCACAUACAUGGCUUCUGGAGGGUGUUGCUUCAAAUUUUAUUCCACCUCUACAUCUGUCACUUUAAAAUUAAAAAUGAAGCUGCUAUGAGAGACAAGUGGCUUUGCUUUUUCUUCUCUGGAGCACUCAAGUGUAGUGUUAAGAUGCACUGGUAAAAGGAAUGGCAUUUCCUUGUACAUGAGGGUAGGAGGAAGAGGUCUCUCCAAGGGCUGGAGAGUGGGGAAGAGCAGCCAGGG
This 3659-nucleotide long non-coding RNA is filed under the name Heterocephalus glaber (naked mole-rat). RNAcentral describes it as "lncRNA (ENSHGLG00100040829.1)". The record is from RNAcentral. Lineage: Eukaryota; Metazoa; Chordata; Mammalia; Rodentia; Bathyergidae.